AUUGUUGUUGUUAUGUUGGUGCAAAAGUAAUUGUGGGGCUUGCCAUUAAAAGUCAUUGCAAAAACUGCAAUUACUUUUGCUCCUACCUAAUA
This 92-nucleotide microRNA precursor is filed under the name Chlorocebus sabaeus (green monkey). RNAcentral describes it as "miRNA (ENSCSAG00000027329.1)". The record is from RNAcentral. Lineage: Eukaryota; Metazoa; Chordata; Mammalia; Primates; Cercopithecidae.